CCUACGGGAUGCAGCAGUGGGGGAUAUUGCACAAUGGGGGAAACCCUGAUGCAGCGACGCCGCGUGUGGGAAGACGGUCCUCUGGAUUGUAAACCACUGUCCCCAGGGACGAAGAUGACGGUACCUGGGGAGGAAGCUCCGGCUAACUACGUGCCAGCAGCCGCGGUAAUACGUAGGGAGCGAGCGUUGUCCGGAAUUACUGGGGGGAAAGGGAGCGUAGGCGGGACUGCAAGUUGGGUGUCAAAUCUACCGGCUCAACCGGUAGCCGCACUCAAAACUGCAGUUCGUGAGUGAAGUAGAGGCAGGCGGAAUUCCUAGUGUAGCGGUGAAAUGCGUAGAUAUUAGGAGGAACACCAGUGGCGAAGGCGGCCUGCUGGGCUUUUACUGACGCUGAGGCUCGAAAGUGUGGGGAGCAAACAGGAUUAGAUACCCCAGUAGUC
This 440-nucleotide ribosomal RNA is filed under the name uncultured bacterium. RNAcentral describes it as "partial 16S ribosomal RNA". It matches the Rfam family "Bacterial small subunit ribosomal RNA", at positions 338 to 795 of the family's 1533-position model. The record is from RNAcentral.